RNAcentral lists this ribosomal RNA (497 nucleotides) under uncultured bacterium. Its description in RNAcentral is "partial 16S ribosomal RNA". It matches the Rfam family "Bacterial small subunit ribosomal RNA", at positions 28 to 507 of the family's 1533-position model. The record is from RNAcentral.
GAUGAACGCUGGCGGCGUGCCUAAUACAUGCAAGUCGAGCGAACAGAUGAGGAGCUUGCUCCUCUGACGUUAGCGGCGGACGUGUGAGUAACACGUGGAUAACCUACCUAUAAGACUGGGAUAACUUCGGGAAACCGGAGCUAAUACCGUAUAAUAUAUUGAACCGCAUGGUUCAAUAGUGAAAGACGGUUUUGCUGUCACUUAUAGAUGGAUCCGCGCCGCAUUAGCUAGUUGGUAAGGUAACGGCUUACCAAGGCAACGAUGCGUAGCCGACCUGAGAGGGUGAUCGGCCACACUGGAACUGAGACACGGUCCAGACUCCUACGGGAGGCAGCAGUAGGGAAUCUUCCGCAAUGGGCGAAAGCUUGACGGAGCAACGCCGCGUGAGUGAUGAAGGUCUUCGGAUCGUAAAACUCUGUUAUUAGGGAAGAACAAAUGUGUAAGUAACUAUGCACGUCUUGACGGUACCUAAUCAGAAAGCCACGGCUAACUACGUG